CCUAUGAGUUUGGGUAAUAUCCGAACCCAUACCUGGAUAUAUAUGUUUAAAAUUUUAUUUUGGUAAUUCUAUUUUGGUUGAUAAUAUGCAUAAAAUUAUUUUGGUUAUUUAUAUAUUCUAUGUUGAAUUGUAAUUCUAUUUCUAUAUUUUAUGUUUAUAAAUUUGGACUUAUAAAUUAUGUUCUAUGUUGAAUUGAUAAUUUUAUUUUGAUUGAUAAUAUGCAUAAAAUUAUUUUGGUUGUUUAUUUUUUUUGGACAUGGGAUAGGCA
This 268-nucleotide long non-coding RNA is filed under the name Elaeis guineensis (African oil palm). RNAcentral's name for it is "long non-coding RNA (EGUI_LNC002643)". Lineage: Eukaryota; Viridiplantae; Streptophyta; Magnoliopsida; Arecales; Arecaceae. The record is from RNAcentral.